UACGUAGGGGGCAAGCGUUGUCCGGAGUUACUGGGCGUAAAGCGCACGCAGGCGGUCGAUUAAGUUUGGAGUGACAGUUGGUGGCUUAACUGCCAAAGUGCUUCGAAAACUGAUCGACUUGAGGGCUUCAGAGGGACACGGAAUUCCGGGUGGAGUGGUGAAAUGCGUAGAGAUCCGGAGGAACGCCGAAGGCGAAGGCAGUGUCCUGGGGAGUACCUGACGCUCAGGUGCGAAAGCCAGGGGAGCGAACGGG
Molecule: ribosomal RNA, 253 nt
Filed under: uncultured bacterium
Lineage: Bacteria
Description: partial 16S ribosomal RNA
Rfam family: Bacterial small subunit ribosomal RNA
Source: RNAcentral